GCGCACCCAGGCGCGAAAACUCCGCAAUGUCCGAAAGGGCGACGGGGGAACUCCAAGUGCCUUGCCUUUUGGUAAGGCUUUUGUGUAGUGUAGAUAGCUACAAGAAUAAGGGCGGGUAAGACCGGUGCCAGCCGCCGCGGUAACACCGGCCGCCCAAGUGGUGACCGCUAUUAUUGGGCCUAAAGCGUCCGUAGCCGGUCCAGUAAGUCUUUGGGUAAAUCCUACUGCUUAACUGCGGGAAUUCCAGAAAUACUGCAGAGCUAGGGGCCGGGAGACGCAGAAGGUACUCCUGGGGUAGGGAUGAAAUCCUAUAAUCCUAGGGGGACCACCAGUGGCGAAGGCGUUCUGCGAGAACGGGCUCGACGGUGAGGGACGAAAGCCAGGGGCGCAAACGGGAUUAGAUACCCCUGUAGUCC
Molecule: ribosomal RNA, 416 nt
Filed under: uncultured archaeon
Lineage: Archaea
Description: partial 16S ribosomal RNA
Rfam family: Archaeal small subunit ribosomal RNA
Source: RNAcentral